RNAcentral lists this small nuclear RNA (103 nucleotides) under Physcomitrium patens. Lineage: Eukaryota; Viridiplantae; Streptophyta; Bryopsida; Funariales; Funariaceae. The record is from RNAcentral.
UUCUCUUCGGAGACAUCUGAUAAAAUUGGAAUGAUACAGAGAAGAAUAACAUGGCCCCUGCGCAAUGACUACACGCACAAAUCGAGAUAUGGUCCAGAUUUUG